Molecule: non-coding RNA, 24 nt
Filed under: Bombyx mori (domestic silkworm)
Lineage: Eukaryota; Metazoa; Arthropoda; Insecta; Lepidoptera; Bombycidae
Also listed under: 5 other names
Source: RNAcentral
GGAAGUAAAAGUCGUAACAAGGUU